CCCUUAGAUGUCCGGGGCCGCACGCGCGCUACACUGAAGGAAUCAGCGUGGCUUUCUCCCCGGUCCGAAAGGACCGGGAAACCCGUUGAAUCUCCUUCGUGAUAGGGAUUGGGGCUUGAAAUUGUUCCCCAUGAACGAGGAAUUCCCAGUAAGCGCGAGUCAUAAGCUCGCGUUGAUUACGUCCCUGCCCUUUGUACACACCGCCCGUCGCUACUACCGAUUGAACGGUUUAGUGAGGGCCUCGGAUUGGUCUCGGCCCGCUCUUCACCGGGCGGCGCCGUUGGUCGAGAAGACGCUCGAACUUGAUCGUUUAGAGGAAGUAAAAGUCGUAACA
RNAcentral lists this ribosomal RNA (334 nucleotides) under uncultured eukaryote. Its description in RNAcentral is "partial 18S ribosomal RNA". It matches the Rfam family "Eukaryotic small subunit ribosomal RNA", at positions 1470 to 1796 of the family's 1831-position model. The record is from RNAcentral.